UUUAGACUCCUAUAAAAGGCAUUGUAUUUCAAAGCUUGUAUGCACAAGAACAACACAUAAAUUCACAUGCAUAUAGUCUCUCAUUAACUUAAAGAUAUUUUAAGCAAUAUGUCAUCCAUGAAGGCUGAUAAACCUGUUGGGACCCAACUUUUUGGGCAGACCAAGAAAGAAGCUACUCCUCCUAAAGCUAGUAAAAGUGCAUCCAAGGGUCCAGCUGCAAAAUCAAGCUCAAAGAAAGCACCACAGAAGUCUCAAGAUUCUAAGAAAAAGGUAUCUUAUUUUAGAAACUAUCAUUUCAUUCAUAUAUCAUUAGGUGUGACAAAAUUGAUGCAUUGUGGGUUUAAUCAUGACUAUGAUAUUUUGUGCUUGGGUUAAAAAAAUUAAGCAUUUUAUGUUUUAUUGUGCAUAGGGAAAAGGAAGCAAAGCAGCUGCAAAAAACUAGCCAUAUUUGGUGAAGGAAACUAUUGGGUGUUACAAAAAGAAGUUAUACCUAUAUUGGAUAUAAUAAUACUUGUAUCUCAUUUUCUUGUUGUAGCCCAGGGGUUCUGGCCUCAAUGAAUAGCUUGCUUUAUACUUGAUGAUAUAAUCAAAAUAAAAUGUUUUGCUUUAAAACAUUCACAAAAUUCUUAAUUAUCUCGCUUUUAUAGAUAUUUACCUUAAAGUUUAGGAGUUUAAUUUGUAUUAUGAUUAUUAUUAUUACAUCCUUUAUAAUUUGUGUUUUAUUUCC
This 727-nucleotide long non-coding RNA is filed under the name Lupinus angustifolius (narrow-leaved blue lupine). RNAcentral describes it as "long non-coding RNA (LANG_LNC001878)". The record is from RNAcentral. Lineage: Eukaryota; Viridiplantae; Streptophyta; Magnoliopsida; Fabales; Fabaceae.